UGAUCGAAGCAUUGACGUGCAGCAACCGAGCGCACACUACGGUAGCUGGGUAAUCCCUCACGCCUCCUCGCGUGUCUUUGUUUUUUUGUUACAUGUGUUUCGACGCUUCUUCCACAGCCGUUCCUCCCCUCCUCACAGACCCACCACACACGCUCCACUUCUUUUUCCCACCGUUGUGCUUUCCUGUCUAGCUUUUCCUCACUGAACCAGGAGAAGUCGAAGACAAACAAAGAAGGAAGAGGUAAAGCGAGAGAGGAGGGAAGGCACAGUCACAACGCACUUCUCCUCCUCCGUACCUCCGUCAUCUCUCUCUGUCCGUGUAUCUGUGUGUGUGUGCGGCCUUUUCUCUCGUGCGAUCUCUUUUCAACACACGCACACACAAGCACAAAAGCCUUUCUUUCGCUGCACGGGCGUGGCUAACCGAACAAAAUCAGCGACGGAGACGGCAUACACGCACGUACAAGUUCAGCUGACAAUACGCAAAGAGGGAGCUGCAUUCGCGAACAACGUGCCGUGCAACUUGAGGGUUUGUGUCGGCGUGUGUACAUCAGUGUUUAGGUAGGGAAACGUAGGCAAAGGUAUCGCCGAGUAUACGAGAACGAGGACGAAAAAAGGGGCGCAGCAUAAAAGCAAAGACCCAAUCUCAAGCCCCUCCCCCGUAAAGUAGUUGUCGCUUCGUCGUGACAUAUUUGGUUCCUCUUUCUUUUGUUUUGAAUACGUGAGCACGUGUGUGUGCGUGUGCGUGUGCCUGUCUGUGGUGAUUUCUUUCCCGUUUUCUCUGCCCGUUUUUCCCUUUGUGGCUUCUCUGUUCCGGUCUCAUUUCACCUCGUUUUUGUGUUUCGCUGUCGUUUUUCUCCGAUCUUUGUUGCGUUGGUGCUCCUUCAUCAUCUCCGUCUCGCUCGCUCUUUAUUAUUAUUUUAGCUGAGCGCCACACCCCCUGCUGACAUUGGCACCCUCGGUGAUUUCCGUCAUCCUUGCCGCUCUCUCUUUCUCCUCCCCGCAUUUUUUUAUUCGCUUGCCUGUUGUGCCCCCCCCCCCCCCCCCGCCCCCAUUACCCUCUCCUUUUACCUUUUUGUCUCCCCCCCUCAUCUCGCCGUUUUUCUCUGCGCCUCUCGUUACCCUCCACCUCCGCUGUGUGUCUGCGCUUUUGGAAGCAGGCAACUUGGCCAGCGUAAUGCUUUCCGAUAACGACCUGACCUUUCACAUCCCCUCUGCGGGACUAAGGAAAAUGGACGCGUGGACUGCGACGAACCCUAGCGCCUUUUCCCACCUGCACCUUGUCGGCAACCCGGACUGGAUGUCCUCUUUUUCUGCAAGCUCGCAGGUGGCCGCAGCACGCCCCGCUCUUGCACCACCGGCGCCGGUGGCCAUCGAGCCUUCCACCCCUCGGCUUCUCGCGGCACCAGCAGCCAUUGACGCGCCUGCGCCAGCAGCCAAAAAGAGCUUCCUCAGCAUGUUUUACCGCGGCUCUUCGAACACGGUUUCGUCGACGGCGAUGCCACCAAAGGCGAGCAGCGCAGCCUCCACGCUGAUGUCUGCGCCGCCCAAGGCAUUGGAUGCCUUCGACACCCCAAUGCAGCGCGCCCUCCCUGUGGAUGCGCAGCUGUCCGUGGAGCACCUUUCCAAGCUGGAUGCGGUGGAUGCUACAAUCUCGGCGGCCCCCCGCCGUGAACCGCCGCGUCCUAUGGCACUCGGCAGCGACACAUGGAACGCGCUGAGCAGCGUGCCUCUGCCGGCGAAGACAACAGCGGGAUCGGCGCGGCUGCUGGCCCCACCGGCCUCCAUCGACGCCGUCUUCAGCCGCGACUCGAAGCCACUCUGGAGCGACCUCUCCUUUACCUCUUGCUUCCGCAGCACUGCGCCAACGCUGGAGGCAUUCCGAAGCGCGCCACCUGCGCCGAUUCUGUCGACCCCACCACGCAGCCCGCAGCACCAGGCCACCUCCUCGACAGCGACGGUGGCCACAGCAUUCAUCCCAGUGCCGCCCAAGCCGGUCACGGCAAGCCCACUACGCGACGCUGCGGUGAGCAGUGCCGAGGCCGCGGCACCCGCAGCGAUCCCGGCUGCGCGCCGCGAGCUGAGGGCAAUGGCACAUCCGCUGGUGCCAGUUGGCGAGGACGCGCCUGCAGUAGUCACGCCGCUGCUGAAGCCGGUGGAGGAGACACCCAUGGUGUCGAGCAAGUCUGCAAACCUCGCGCCGAGCACCGUGAAUGCCACGCCCCCAGUCUGGGGACCGGAGCCUCUCAGUCUCGCCGGCAGCGAGCCGGAGCGUUCGGCGUCGCCGUUGCCGACUGAGUUUGCCAAGUCCAUCUCGAGGCCGACCAUGCAACAGGCACAGCGGGACGAGGCGCGCGCAGCGGCCAACGUGCGCAACUUCAUCAGCACCCUGUUCAGCGGUGGCGGCAGUGAUGAGACAGACUCGCCCACAGCAGGGAACAGGAAGGCGGACGGGUUCAACGCACUGGAGUUUGUGACGAAUCGCCGCGGCGCCCAGGCGAAGGCGUCUCAGCCGGUGGACUAUAGCACCUUCUUCAACACCUCUCUCUUCGAAGACGACCACGACGAGGACAGCGAGGAAGGCCUCGAGAAGUUGCGCCGCGUUGUUCUCAUGGUGAUGCAGUCGGCAAAGAACAGCGAAGGCAAUAGCGUCCCUCAGCCGACUGGCCAAAGUUGUCGCCGUGGCGGUGGUGUUGACGGUACCGGGGUGGCGCCGCUGACAACGUUUCCUAGCAAGUACACGGAGUUUUCCGCGUCGUACCAGACCGCGAAUAACAACAACGCAGACGACAACGAAUGGAUGCAGUUCGCGCGCUGAUGUGCGUAUAAAGAGGAGUACUGCGUCUGGCGUAGCAGAGGUUCAGAAGAGCACGCCAGCCCCCCCCCCCCCCCUGCGAAAAAAAAAACGGGCGUAUCAUCGACGAGAGAGGCGGUGACCAGGGUUCCUCCGUACUCUGGCACAUGCCCUUGGGCUGACGCGCGCCGCUGCUUAUCCUUCCCGACUUUUCAGUGUGGUUUUCCCGUGGCUGCACCGCACGCACACGGACCUCCGCUUCGGUGUGUUGGUUCGCCACUGUUCGUGGUCUCCCUCUUUUUUAAUGUGGCUUUGCUGCUUUUAAACCGAUCGUUUUCUUUUCACGCGUGCUCCUGCGUGCACGUAUUCUGCGGCUUUACAUAUCACCCUUGCAGGUAGCGUAUAAGAAAAGCAGGCUGCGGAGUCUCAUUCCCUGCUCUUCCAAGUAUGUGUCUGUUUGUCUGUCUACGUGUGUGCUGGCGCCUGCCAUGGCUCACCCUCCUUUGCCUCCCCCGUCGGUGCCUCUUGUUGUCCUUUCCUUUACUCUUUUUGUUUUGGUUCUUCCGCUGAUGUGCGGGUCUCGCGCUCUCUCUCUGUCUGUCAUCAACGCCUUAGAUGUUCCGUGUAUUUCUAUUUUUUUUUUGCGUCUAUUUCGUUUUGUUGCUGCGGGUGCUCUGCUUUGAUAUUUUAGAGGAUGGGCGUACACCAAGACACAGACUUGCAUCCGUCUACAUUGAGCCAGCGACGAGGGGCUGGUGUGUGCUGUUUUGCUUCCUUUUUCUUCUUCCUUGAUGCUCAUCCGCUUUCAUUGACGCGGUGUGGCAAAGGGAUGGGAUGAGUGAGCGACUCCAUCGAUACUCAGCAAGAGCGCAAGUGGCGCAGCGCGACGAAUGCCAUGCCGCUAGUGUCACCCAAGCACACGAACCCCUUUUUCUUCUUUUCUCGUUGCCCUCCUCCUCUCGUGUGUGUCUCUCUCUGCCCUCCUCCUCCUCCUCUUGAGUAUGUGUGCGUCUUGUGCUUUCCGUUUUCAUAUCCAGACAGCAAACAGACAAAGCAGAAACAAAAGCAAGCAGCCAAGACGGUGCGAAAAAGAACCAAAAUGAGCAGCACGCACAUCCGUGAAGCAAACAAAAGGAAGAUACACAGUUUCACUACAGGUUCGGAUAUUUCUGCCAUCUGACCACGUGCCGGCGAACGUGUCGCUGUAGUGUUGUGUGCCUCUAGUGGAAUGGAAUGGGGAUAGAGCAGCUUUUAGGUUGACGUGUACGGCACCUACUUCUCGGCCGCCUGCUCCACUCACAUCCAAGAAACGAUACCCAUAUACACAUACCCGCGAGCACGUCUGACCCACUUACGCGGAACUGAGCAAGAGGAGCAUGUUAGCGGUAGCAGUAGUAGUUACAGACUACUUUUUAUUUUUGCGUCUUAUUGGGAGAAUAGUUCAUUGUAUGUUUCCACGUGCUUUGCUGCGCGCGAGCGUGUGGGGGCACGCCUCCACGUGUACGUGUACGCGCUUAUCGACAGUGUACUUCUCUUUUGCGUGCCCUGGUUGUGGUAUUUUUUUUUUCUUGCUUCGGUUGCUCCGCUGGCUGCUCUUCUCCCGUCCUCUCGUUGUUGCCUUUUCUGUUGCUGGUUGUUUCGUGUCGUCGGUAACAUCGGGCUCAUCGUCUCUCGAAUUUUUUUUUCGUUCUGUCCUUUGCUUCUUUUCCUUUUGUGACGUUGUUUAGUUUUUUUUUUUGUGCGUGGUUGUUGUUUUUGCCUUUUCGUGUUCUGCUCACGCGCUUUGGUGGCGUGAUGUUGCUGGUGUGUUUUGUGUGUUGUAUGUGUGGGUGUGCGGGGCCUCCUUUUUAUGUUCUUCAUCCUUCCUCCUUUGGCGCGCUUUUCUUUGUUUGUUUCAGUUUUCGCUGCCGUUGAUCGCACAAAACUACUCUCCUUUAGUUGAUGGCAGCUCGCGUGCGCGUUUUGUUGUUUUGUUUGUGAAGUGUUUUUGCUUGGUUUGUUGCGUGAGCACGCACUGUUGAUGUGGGCGAUAUAUCCACGCGCUAUCAACGCCCUCCCUCGUCCUCCCCCGCCCACAACUCUCUUUUUUCUCUGUGACGAAGAAGGGAACAUUAUCUCCAGAUUUCGCUCACCCCUUUUUUUUUCGUUAUUGACAUAACCGACAUGUGUGCGGGCACCAGCUUCACCGCAAGCUCCUUUUCAGAUGAAAACAACCCGCACCAAAAAGAACAAAAAAAAGAACGAAAGAGGCGCUAGCUCCACACCAGCAGCGACUGAAGCGUAAAAGGCGUCAACCAGCUCUUUCCACCCCUGUGUCUGCGCGGUUUGUUCCGUGUGCUCGGUGGACACACCCACAUCUACGCACACGGACACCCACCAUGACUUCCAAGUUGUCGGGCCACUACUUGUGCAGCACGC
RNAcentral lists this unclassified non-coding RNA (5209 nucleotides) under Leishmania donovani. RNAcentral's name for it is "gene:LdHU3.36.2340(CDS-product:hypothetical_prote in_conserved)". Lineage: Eukaryota; Euglenozoa; Kinetoplastea; Trypanosomatida; Trypanosomatidae. The record is from RNAcentral.